Molecule: ribosomal RNA, 497 nt
Filed under: uncultured bacterium
Lineage: Bacteria
Description: partial 16S ribosomal RNA
Rfam family: Bacterial small subunit ribosomal RNA
Source: RNAcentral
GAUGAACGCUGGCGGCGUGCCUAAUACAUGCAAGUCGAGCGAACAGACCAGGCUCUUGCUCCUCUGACGUUAGCGGCGGACGGGUGUGUAACAUGUGUAUAACCUCCCUAUCUGACUGGUAUAACCUCGGGAAACCGGAUCUAAUACCGGAUAAUAUAUUGCACCGCAUGGUUCAAUAGUGAAAGACGGCUUUGCUGUCACUUAUAGAUGGAUCGUCGCCGCAUUAGCUAGUUGUUAGGGUAAAGGCCUACCAAGGCAACUAUGCGUAGCCGAACUGAGAGAGUGGUCGGCCACACGGGAAGGGGAACAAGGACAAGACUACUAAGGGAGGCAGCAGUAGGGAAUGUGCCGCAAUGGGCGGAAGCCUGACAGAACGAGGGGACGUGAGUGGUGGAAAUGUUCGGAUCGGAAAACUCUGUUAUUGGGGAAAAACAAAUGUGGAAGUAACUAUGCAGGGAUUGACGGUACCUGAUAAGAAAGCCACGGCUAACUACGUG